AUCCAGCUGACGAGUCCCAAAUAGGACGAAAUGCGCGUCAUUCUGGAU
RNAcentral lists this non-coding RNA (48 nucleotides) under Trichobilharzia regenti. The record is from RNAcentral. Lineage: Eukaryota; Metazoa; Platyhelminthes; Trematoda; Strigeidida; Schistosomatidae.